Molecule: ribosomal RNA, 284 nt
Filed under: uncultured bacterium
Lineage: Bacteria
Description: partial 16S ribosomal RNA
Rfam family: Bacterial small subunit ribosomal RNA
Source: RNAcentral
GGUUACUUUUAAGCCAGUCUGACAGCCAUGCCGCGUGAGGAUGAAGGCCCUAUGGGUCGUAAACUUCUUUUAUUAGGGAAGAAAAAACGGGAUGCGUCCUGUACUGACGGUACUUAAUGAAUAAGGAUCGGCUAACUUCGUGCCAGCAGCCGCGGUAAGACGAAGGAUCCAAGCGUUGUCCGGAUUUACUGGGUUUAAAGGGUGCGUAGGCGGAAAAUUAAGUCAGUGGUGAAAGCCCGCAGCUCAACUGUGGAACUGCCAUUGAAACUGGUUUUCUUGAAUGU